RNAcentral lists this long non-coding RNA (6882 nucleotides) under Sus scrofa (pig). Its description in RNAcentral is "lncRNA (ENSSSCG00025003120.1)". Lineage: Eukaryota; Metazoa; Chordata; Mammalia; Artiodactyla; Suidae. The record is from RNAcentral.
UUUCUGUUCCAUUGCUCUUUGUUGAAUCAAGCUGGUGAGACAGAGUGUAAUCUGUUUAGAGCUUGCUGUUUCUGUCAGAUCUCUUUUAUAAUUGAUUCAUACAAGGAAAUAAGAGACCUUUCAGAAUGCUUUUGGAAAAGUUAAAAAUUAUUGGCUUUGUUUGAAAUUUGGAAGCAUGGUUGCAUUGUCUGUGGUGAUCAGGAUGGUUAGAGCAUAAAUUUAUCGUCUUCAGUGUGUCUGGUCAUUGCAAGAAAAAUAUUAAAGCUUUAACACAACUUUAAAAGAAGCAGCUAUUCUCUUCACUUGUUAUUGGACUUGAAACUCCUUUGACCUCGGAAACUGAAGAUGAGGUUGCCAUGGGAACUGCUGGUACUGCAAUCAUUCAUGUUGUGCCUUGCAGGUAGAGUGUCAUUUUAAAACUUUUUGAUUUAAAAAAUGUCACUGUAUUUCACACUAAUUCAAAAGUGGGCCUUCACUUUAGAUGGCAAUGAUGAAAUCGUAAGCGAGCAGACCACUACGACUAGCAUUUGCUGACACUGUUGAAUACACUCUCCUGAUGGUCUUUUAGUGGCUCUUUUCAUGGUGUUGUAUCCAGUGCUAGACACUGAUGUUUCACCUAUCUAUCUGGUCCUUUUAGAGUCGUUUAAGCCAUUAUUUAGUUUGAAAGUUGUUAUUUUUGUUCAUUCCAGUGCUCAAUUGCACAGAGAUAUUGGGCAAUAAAAGAGAUAAUAUAGUCUAAAGUAUUGCCUACUUUGAUGUCAGUGGAUGGAAUUUUAUCUGGGUGAUUCUUUCAGUGUCUUUGUUGAUAUCACUCCCUCUUUUGAUAAUGACUUUUCUUUUUCAUUUCAGUACACCUCCAGUUUAAGAGGAGCCUGAAAGCAUAGACACUAGGUUUUCACCAUACAUUCAUGGUCCACUUCUAGACAAGGGCUUUAAAAGUUCAUAGAGUCUCUUGAUGACUUUCUCAGUUUUGUGGAAGAUGGAAAACUACUAGCUGACACACGUAACUGGGUGUUGAUGAAGCCUAAAUCCAGCAUGCACUGAGGGUUGAUUUCCAGGUUAGGAUGGUGAGCAUCUUUCUAGGUCUUUCUGAAAUGAGUCUUAUUGGCCAGCUUUGUUAUUCAGAGUGUCAGGUCCAUGAGGGACACCUGAAAUAUAUUUGUAUUUUUACAACAGAAUACAAAAAUGACUUUGGGCUCAUCAUCUUAAUUCAGGCAUUCAUUAGAAUAAUAUCACAGAGUACCUUACAGAGCCAGCUCUGUGUUUGUACCUAUGACAUUCUAAUGGGUCUGUGGCAUCCAGAUGUCUCUUUUAGAAAUAUUAUUUCUCUCCCUCAUCUGGAAGAAGUUAAAUCUCACCCCCUUUUCCCCAUAAAUACCUCAGGCUCUGCACUUCAUUCCUUUUCACUAGACUUCUCAUGUACUUGACCCUCCCAAAAGUCCUCAACUGAGACAUUCUGGCUCUAACUUUUCAUGACUCUAGGAGAAACAUAUUCUUGAAAGCCUAACAUAAUGAGUCAGUUUCUCAGUAUUUGACCACAGCAGUGUGUUUAUUUAAUCCACUGUGCUACAUAGAUGAUACAAAAUUUAAGGGUUGAAAAUCAAGGAAGACAUUAGUCUCCUGAGUUGUGUUUUGAAAAACUCAGAAUUCUCACCUAAGAUGUGUACCUGUAUCUUUUUUUAUUCACUUAGCUUUUUCUAGGAAAUCAGUAUAUUGACUUUUUUUUGGGGGGGGGGAAUGAGUCUCUUCUGUGAACUAUUUUACAUGGCAUUAAUAUUCUCUUACCAUAUGCCUCCUUCAGUUUAGGUAAAGUCAAGCUGUAAUUAAUGUUUUUGUUUUCUUGCUAUUUGUCUUGAUUUCAUUAAUUUACAUAGCACUCAACACUCUGAAUUUUGAGCAGAUUUCCUUAACUGCUCAUUCUUUUCCUUUUCUAUACUUCCUUAGUAAUAUAUUUAUUGGUGAAUUUUUGGCAAGGGAAAUAAUUAGGUUUUAUCAUAAUUCAUGAAUUUCAAAUGUGCUUUCUCCUGAUCUUUUCCCCCUAAAUAAGAUAGAAUAUCCAACUGUAUAAGCAGCGUCCCCCUGCAGGGGAUACAUCUUGAAAGGUCUGCUAAUUAUUUAAGGAAUCGAUCCGCCAUUUAUGGUCCUAUGGAAAUGUUCUUUUUUACCAAUGCUAGACUCAGUCUCUGACAAUGAUUUUCAAAAAAAUAAAAGACAAGACUGUGGAUGCAAGUAGUCUAAAAAUUCAGUCCCUUCAAAAUUGGUUUCCCUCUUCUCCCUCUGAAUCAAUUUAAACAGGGAACACAAAACGCAGCUACCUGGAAGAACAAGGAAGCUAACAAAUGAACAAAACAUUCUUAAAGGACUAGUGACUCCUGCUUACAACAGAGUGCUGGUGACUGGAAAACUAGACAAAUCAUGUCCCAUUAGAGUAUCAAUCAUAUAUGCUCUGGUCUUAUAUGCCAGGUCUCCCAGUUUUGUGAGUUUUUUUUUUUUUCUCCUAAUUCUUUAACAUUGCCAACCAACUCAAAUUAAUUUUUAAAAUAAAACUAAAAAGGAUCUGUGAAACAAACCAAAGUGAUCGUCAGGUGAGAUGUUGCUUCCAGCCCAUGAGGUUGCAGUCUGUUUCAGGCAUUUUGUUUUUCUUUGUUUCUAGACACUUAGGGUCAUUGUACUGACUCCUCCUUUUCCCAACAGUGUUUUUGUCCAAAAUGGUAUAAGGUCAUCCUAUCUCUUACCCUCUACCCUUCUUUGAAUUUGUGCUCGAAUACCACCUAAUUUAUAAGGAUUUUCUUGACCACAGUAAAUAAAUCAAAAUCAAAUGGCAAUAAUUCCUCCCACUAACAUUUUAUACCCCUUUUAUUUGAUCUUUCUUAAGAGUUCUUAUCAAUAUGUGAAUAACCAUAUAUUUUAUUUGUCUCCAUGCUGAAUUUCUUCCCCCACCACACUGAAGCUUUAUUAAGGCUGGCAUUUCUAUCUUUUUAGUUAAUUGCUAUCUACCCAACAUCUUCCAAAUGCCUACCUACAUAGUGUCAUCCACUAAAUAAACAUAUGUCAAAUGAACAAAUACUGUAUCCUGGCCAGACAUGAGAGACAGAGAAAUCCAGUCUCUGAUUCUAAGCUGUACUGUGCACACAAGGCAUGUAGUCACCUUGAUGUUAAGGCAGUGAACUCACUACCUUUGAGGUUAAUUCAUACAAAUAUGGCUUUUUAAAUUAGAUUUCAAUAUAUAAAGUAUUAAAAUUGGGAGUUCCCAUUGUGGCUCAGCAGAAAUGAACCUGACUAGUAUCCAUGAACUAGUAGUAGGGUUUGAUCCCUGACCCCACUCAGUGGGUUAAGGAUCCAGCAUUGCCACAAGCUGUGAUAUAGGUCACACCUGUGGCUUAGAUCUGGUGUUGCUGUGGCUAUGGCAUAGGCAGCAGCUGCAGCUCUAAUUCAAACCCUAGCCUGGGAACUUCCAUAUACCUCGGGUGCAGCCUUAAAAAGAAAAUAAAAGAUUAAAAUUGGUUAGCAUGCCUUGAACUCUGUAUCAGAGGUUCUUGGUGCAACACCUCAUCACCUGUUUCUGCUGUCAAGCACAGCUAGGACGACUGUCCCUGCUCUGGAUUAUUCUGCCUCAAGUCAUUCUCUAAAGUCACAAGCAAGGGGAACUAUGAAAAAUUAACUCCCUUCUUCGGUGCAGUCCUCAAAUAAUGGGGCAUGAGAAUCAGUGGAUAAAUGCCUCAGAGCCUGUCAUUUGGAAGGAGAUGCCUCAGCACAUCCUACAGGCUUCCUAUACCGUCCCCAGCAAGCCUGAAUCUCAGUUGCCCACAAUUCCACUAUCUCCUUCUCACUCCCACUUUGUGGAAUCACCUUCCAAACAAACUGACUGUUUCCAGAUCCUUCUCUUAGGCUCUGCUUUGGGUGGAAUCCAAACCAAAAACAUGCCCACAGCAGUUAGUAGCAGAGAAGCAGCCCAGCAUCAGUCACAUUGGUAAUUAGGAUGAAACCAGAUAAAAAACAUGGUUUUUGCAGAGAUUGUUGAAGUGUUGACUGCGAUGUGGACCCACACGUGUCUAUGCAUGUGGGUACUUACAUGAGUACUCGCAUGUAUGCCUCUGUUUAGGUAUGCCUGUAAGUAUUAUCCAGGUGCUGCAACCAGGUAGUUUUAGUCUUUUACCCUUUUUACUAUUUACUAGUUUUAUUAUUAGCCAGCUUCUGGACAAGUCAUUUUUUGCCUCUCUGAGAUUCCAUUUACACCUCUGUGCAAUGAGGGUGUUAAACAGAUGGUCCAUAAAGUCCUUUUUAACUCUAAAAAUAUAUCAUUUUGACUAAACACAUAAUUUGAAAGUCAGAUAUAUAUGCUGAGAUGGUUAGAGCUAAGCUUGAAACUGUAUGCUACUAAUAGGGCAUUUCACAUAGGUCCUGCGCCUUACUGGGUGUUACCAAUUCUGUUCACAUUGGCAGAUUUGAAAGAAAGGAUAAAAUGGCUGGUCCAUAUCUACAUUGGGAGAAAGGGGCAUGAAGACAUUUAAAAAUCCUCUGUGAGUGGGUGAAAGAAAAAUGUAUGUUUGGUGUAUUCUCAGUUGAACUUCAUUUCAGAGAGGCUAAAUUUAUUCCCAUCUCUGUGGUGCAGUUUACCAACUUCAGCAAUUAUUUCUUUUUGAGAAAGUGCAUCCUUUCCAAAUGGAAGCAUUUUUUUUUAUUUGUUCACAAAAAUCUCUGCUGCUGUUACAGCUGCAUCUGGGAUAGGCAGUGGAGAAAAGGUCCUGUGUAAUUCAAGAGAGGCAUAUUCUGGGAUUAGUGCGUAUUUGCAAAAUUGGAACCAAAAGGAGUCUUGGGUUGAAUAGUUAAUCACAAGGAUGUAGCUCAAAUCUAUGAUUGUAAAAAAUGCAAACCAGGGGCCACUACCUGUAAUUAGAGCACACAGAGACACUGCCCAGUGGUUCUCAGAAGGCAUUUUCGGUGUAGGGUGUGUCCUAUCACUAAAACUCAAGUAGGCUUUUGACCAUUUUAUCUUAUUCUAGGGUUAGAGAAUGCAUGUGUACAGUAGGAUCCCCAGUAUUUAUUGAUUUUCUAGUAGUAGAACUCAAUAAGCACAAUCUGAUCAGGUCACCACUUCAUCAGACAUUCUUCCAAAGCUCAGGACCAGCCCUAAAGCCCCCCACCACCCACCGCUGCACGCCCCACCCCCACCCCCGCAUCGUGCACACAGAAAUUAAUUUUAAAGUAUGGCCUCACAACAUAACCAGGAAUAGUAUUUUAGUUCUCAAGAUUCUCAUCUUCUUUCCCCAGAAUAAAUGGAGGAACAGACAACUUUCAAAUAAUUCCAAUUCUAGACAUAUUAAACCUAGUACUGCCCUGUUUUUGCAAAAGUAACAAGUAUUCAAUUAAGAUCAAAAGAAAGUUGGGUAAAUGUCAGCUUUCAUACAGUUACUGCAAAGCCUAGUUCUGUACCGACCUCUUAUUUUAUUGUUUCUUUUUUUGAGAAACUGGCUGGCCAGUGAGUUUAUAGUCAUGCUGACUGCAGCCAAAGAAUGUAUUUUCUAUUUUCCUCUGUGCUGUCUCAUAACCAUGCCCAUGAAAUGAAGCCAAGGUAGUAGAAAGAUUUAACAAGAAGAAAAUUAAUAACUACAUUAAAAAGCAGUGACUCCAGUGAAGAAAAUUCAGGCAAAGAAUAGGGAGAUGUAUACCCAGAAAAUAAUAAACAGCAAAUGGAAAACUUCUUUUGAAUAUCAAUUUAAGUACUUAAGCACAUUUCUCGGUGGGAAAAAUAUUAAUCAGUAAUGAAGAUGUUGAGGUAAAUAGAGAAACUGGCAGCAAUUUUGCAUCCCCACCGGCAUGGACACAUAGUAGCAGUCGUACAAACCAAAAGUUAUUAGAAAUAUUCAAUUUAAGACCUCUCCUGGAGCAUAGUCAUUAAUGGCUUCAUUAGAUACACUCAACCAGGCUAGAUGUCUUAACUAUAAAUAAAACUCACUUAUUGGUAGAGUCUAGGACUUGUUCUGUCUUAAAAAAAAAAAAUGAUUGAACUCUUUUGAAUGAAACAGCUCAGGAAGCGAGGAGGAAUACAAGAGAAAAUGCAAGUACUAUGUAUAUUUAAUAUCAGAUGUGUGAUAAUGUAAUGACUCUGUGGGGCUUUCCUGGACCAGGCCUUUGACCCCAUAUCCUCUGCUUUAGCUCCUCUCUGAAGUACUUAAAUAAGAGUAAUUUCCUGAGUUGUUUUACAAAUGUGAAUAUCCUUGCCCACCAAAUGGAAGAAGUGAACUACUUGAUAACCAUGGGUGUAUAGACCCCAGGCCUUCUAGAACCAAAGGAUUGAUAAUGUUAACCCCUGUGACACCACCCUGUUACCUCCCCAUCAGCCAACCAGAGAACUGUGCACAAGCUGAUCACUUACCCUUAGACCCCUCUCCCUCACCUGCACUUUAAAAGUGCUUUACAGUAUUGGUUGGGGGACCUCGUGCUUUUAGGGGGGCACAAGCCACUUGUCUCCAUGCAUGGUCUUGCAAUAAAUCUUCCUCUGUUCCAGACUCUGACAUUUCAAUUUGUUUGGCCUCACUGUGCAUCGGGUAUAGGAAUAUACACUAACUAUAUUGCUUUGUUGAAAUGUGGAAUGAGGAAAUUCCUAUUAUGGUUCAAGGGUAACGAACCCGACUAGUAUCCAUAAGAACCAGGGUUCUAUCCCUAGCUCGUUCAGUGGAAUGAGGAUCCAGCAUUACUGUGAGAUGUGGUGUAGGUCACAGAUGUGGUUCGGAUCUGGUGUUGGCUGUGGCUGUGGCUGCAGCUGGCAGCUACAGCUCCCAUUUGACCCUCAGCCUGGAAAUUUCUUUAUGCCAUGGUUGUGGCCCUAUAAAAGAAAUAAAGAGAGAGAGAGAAAGGAAAGAAGGAAGGGAGGAUAGGGAA